GGGGCUAUAGCGCAGUUGGUAGCGCAUCUCAAUGGCAUUGAGAGGGCCAGCGGUUCGAAUCCGCUUAGCUCCA
Molecule: transfer RNA, 73 nt
Filed under: Pseudanabaena sp.
Lineage: Bacteria; Bacillati; Cyanobacteriota; Cyanophyceae; Pseudanabaenales; Pseudanabaenaceae
Also listed under: 36 other names
Description: tRNA-Ala
Rfam family: tRNA
About the family: Transfer RNA (tRNA) molecules are approximately 80 nucleotides in length. Their secondary structure includes four short double-helical elements and three loops (D, anti-codon, and T loops). Further hydrogen bonds mediate the characteristic L-shaped molecular structure. tRNAs have two regions of fundamental functional importance: the anti-codon, which is responsible for specific mRNA codon recognition, and the 3' end, to which the tRNAs corresponding amino acid is attached (by aminoacyl-tRNA synthetases). tRNAs cope with the degeneracy of the genetic code in two manners: having more than one tRNA (with a specific anti-codon) for a particular amino acid; and 'wobble' base-pairing, i.e. permitting non-standard base-pairing at the 3rd anti-codon position.
Source: RNAcentral